Amphiprion ocellaris (clown anemonefish) is the source of this 3932-nucleotide long non-coding RNA. RefSeq lists it as uncharacterized. The record is from RefSeq and is a predicted model, not a curated record. The transcript is spliced from 5 exons. NCBI's taxonomy places the organism in Eukaryota, Metazoa, Chordata, Actinopteri, Pomacentridae.
GGCUUCACCUCAAUCUCAUGCUUUCCGCUCUGAGCUCUCCUCGUGGAGGUGACUGCAGCCGGGCGUACUGGAUCUGGUGUGGUAAAUCGGGGCGCACGUAAUAUCGCUGGUACAGCGACGGCUGUGUCGCUGGGAGACAGGUCGCUCCGCUCAGCGUGCCGUGGGUGCGUCCGUGUUGGCGGGCAUAACUGCUGUGGUUGUUGGUGGGUCUCCUCCGCCUGCUUGCUGUCACGCUGCGCCACGGAUAAUCGGGUUCAGCAAGCCUCGGCGGCAGUCCAAUCCCUGGUUGUGGUUUCAUGAGUCCCCUUUUCGUUGGUGUGUUGUGUCACAGGUGUGGGAUUAUUUUUGGACCCCUUUUCUCUUUUGAUCUUCUGAUUUUUGCCUGCCGCCAUGUGAUUCCUUCUUUAGGUUCAGAAUCUUCAAGCUGACACUGUGGACCUCAGCAGAGCUUCAGAGCUGACUGGGUCAGAUGUUCUAUCAGCAGAACAUUGCUCCUGAUCAAACCACAUCCCUGAGGAGGAGCUGAAGGACACAACUGUGGAGGACAUCUGAGUCGUUUGAACACCAGCCAACACAGAAGGAUAAUAAAAUAACACUUCAGCAGAAAGUACUGCAGCAAGUAGAUUUAAUGGAGAAACUUCAGGCUAACAUCCCUUUAAAUAGAUAGAUAGAUGGAUGGAUGGAUGGAUGGAUGGAUGGAUGAUAGAUAGAUAGAUAGAUAGAUAGAUAGAUAGAUAGAUAGAUAGAUAGAUAGAUAGAGAGAUAGAUAGAGAGAUAGAUAGAUAGAUAGAUAGAUAGAUAGAUAGAUAGAUAGAUAGAUAGAUAGAUAGAUAGAUAGAUAGAUAGAUAGAUAGAUAGAGAGAUAGAUAGAUAGAUAGAUAGAUAGAUGUAGAGACAUAUAGAGACAGAGAGAAAUACAGAGAGAGAGAGAGAGAGAGAGAGAGAGAGAGAGAGUCAUCAGUCUAAAGGAUUCAUAUCAGAGCAGGUGGAGAUACAGCGGCUCUGAUAGAAGAUGUUAACUGGAGAAAAGAAAGCUUCUACAAGCAGAUAGAUAGAUGGAUAGAUAGAUAGACUAUCAAUAGAUAGAUAGAUAGAUAGACUAUAGAUAGAUAGAUAGACUAUGGAUAGAUUGAUAGAUAGACUAUAGAUAGAUAGAUUAUAGAUUAUAGAUAGAUAGACUAGAUAGAUUAUAGAUAGAUAGAUAGAUAGACUAUAAAUAGAUUAUAGAUAGAUAGACAGACAGACUAUGGAUAGAUAGAUAGAUAGAUAGAUAGAUUAUAGAUAGACUAUAGAUAGAUAGAUAGACAGAUAGAUUAUAGAUAGAUGACAAUAAAUCAAUAGAUUAUAGAUAGACUAUAGAUAGCUAGAUUAUAGAUAGAUAGAUAGAUAGAUAGAUAGAUAGAUAGAUAGAUAGAUAGACUAUAGAUACCUAGAUUAUAGAUAGACUAGAUGGAUAGAUAGACUAUAGAUAGAUACAUAGAUAGAUAGAUAGAUAGAUAGAUAAAUAGAUAGAAAGACUAUAGAUAGGUACUGAACAUCAGUGUUGUUUAUUGUCAAAAGUUUGUUUUACAACCAUUAAAUUUUCAGUAAAAGUCUUGAAUUUAAAAGUAUCCUCUGACCUUCUGUCACACUGCAAAUUUACUAUUUUCACCUAAGAGGAGCUAAAAAAGUCAACUGAAGCCACAAGGACCGAAAAGAACAAACUGGAGCUAUCUCUAGCUAACAGGAGCCUUUUUUAUUCUUUAUUUUUCCAGGUAGAUCAUUUGACAGUUUCUCAUUUCCAGUGAUGACCUGGCCAGAGGCCCCAACGGGUAGAAAGACAACAAAUAAACAAUACAUACUCAAAAAUGACGCAUAAGUGUUUAAACAGAGAUUAAUAAACAACCUAAAUUAAUGCUACAGGUCAGUGAAAACAGCACGUCAGUGGUCAGCUUCGGUCAGCUGCAGCUUCUGAUUAAAUACGGAAAGAGAUGGAAGAGACGACAGUUUCAGAGGUUUUUGGAGGGAAUUCCAAUCGAUUCCUGCAGCAAAUUGAAGGGAAUUCCGGCCAAAUACAGUGAGAACCUUGGGGAUAGACAGCGUUAUGAUCUCUGGACCUCAGGUGGUGGUUGUUAUGGAGGCUGUAGGAGGUUGGAGAGGUACUAAGGUCUUUCCUGAUAGGGUCUGGUAGAGGAGGAGAAGACAGUACUGGAGUCUCCUGGAGUAAAGGGAGGACCAACCCACCAGUUAGUAAAGGGAGGACCAACUACCAGUUGGUAAAGGAAGGACCAACCACCAGUUAGUAAAGGGAGGACCAACCACCAGUUAGUAAAGGGAGGACCAACCACCAGUUAGUAAAGGGAGGACCAACCCACCAGUUGGUAAAGGAAGGACCAACCACCAGUUAGUAAAGGGAGGACCAGCCCACCAGUUAGUAAAGGGAGGACCAGCCCACCAGUUAGUAAAGGAAGGACCAACCACCAGUUAGUAAAGGGAGGACCAGCCCACCAGUUAGUAAAGGGAGGACCAACCCACCAGUUAGUAAAGGAAGGACCAACCACCAGUUAGUAAAGGGAGGACCAGCCCACCAGCUAGUAAAGGGAGGACCAACCCACCAGUUAGUAAAGGUCACAAUGGAGGGUGGGGAAAGGCUGAGUGAUGGAGGACAUCCAGCCUGUUAGGGGCCACUUGGGGGCCAUUUUAUAGAUGACAUUGCUGUAGUCAAACAUGGGGAGGAUGGUCAUCUUCACAAGAGUGUUUUUGGCAGAGUUUGUAAAGGAGACCUUAUUAUGGUAAAGGAACCCCAGUCUGGAUUUGAUUUUAGCCUGUAGAAUGUUGAUGUGAGGAAUUAAAGAGAGUGAAGAGUCCAGCCAGAGGCCAAGGUACUUGUAGGAAUUGCCAAACUCCAGAUCUGAGCAACAGGUGAUCUUUGGGGGGCUGGGGACCCUGUUUGUCUGGUUAAACAGCAGACAUUUUGUUUUUUUGGAAUUGAGGCAAAGGUCCUGAAAAGACUCCUUGAUUGAAGUAGUGAGUUGAAGGGUAGAAGCAGCAGAGUGAAGUGAUGGAUCAGUGGAGCAAAUAACGGUGUCAUCAGGGUAGAGGUGUAUGCGGGAGGCACCAGUAGCUUUGGCCACAUCAUUUAUGGAGAUGGAAAACAAAAUUUGGCCCAAGAUGGAGCCAUGAGGUACACCCGUAGUGACGAUCAAAGGUCCUGAUAUCAAGUUCUCUGAUUUUACUCGCUGUAUACGAUUAUUAAGGUAGCUAGCAAACCAGCUAAUACAGCCUCAGGACAGGUCGAUGCAUCUGUAGCUAACAGGAGCACUCUGGAGCUAAGAUGAGCUAUCUGUAGCUAACAAGAGCUAACAGGAGCUAACAUGAUAGCAGCAUCAGUAACAUUAGCAUACUGCAGUAGUUCUAAUCUACAUUUUAUGUCCUUUCAAUGCGUUUUAAUCUGUAGUUUCUGAUUUGAUUCAAUUGUUUAAUUCAUUUUAUUUCCUGUCCAAUGUUUUUCCUUUAACUGGUUUUACUUUGGUUCCUGUGUUUUCUUUUAAUCCUGUUUUUAUCUCGUACUCCUUUAAUUCAUGUAUACUUGUAUUUAUAAUCUGCUUAAAUGUGAGGAAGAAGAGCUGGCUCACAGGGAAUAUUUUCCCCAUGAUGCCUUUUGAUGGAUCCAGAUACAUGAGCUCCCAGCUUCAGAAACGUUUACUCAUCCAAUCAACUGAGACAUGAUGCAACGUUUAUGCAGUCAUCUCAUUUAUUCUCAUUUGAUGAUGAUGAAGUCCCUUCCUCGACUGAUGAUAUGAUCUGAAUGUGUUCCACGUAGAAGAUAAACCUCAGUGUCCUCCUCACUGACUAACCCUAAAGAAUAUGAAGAAUAAAAUGAACAAAUGUCUUGUGCAGCCUUUCAACCUUAUUUUACGACUAUUACUGAUUGCUUACUGAUUGAUCACUGA